This 1101-nucleotide long non-coding RNA is filed under the name Salmo trutta (river trout). Its description in RNAcentral is "lncRNA (ENSSTUG00000022262.1)". The record is from RNAcentral. Lineage: Eukaryota; Metazoa; Chordata; Actinopteri; Salmoniformes; Salmonidae.
AUGAUCUGUUUUCUGCUGAGGUAUGCAGAAAAAAAACAUUUUUUUUACAUAGAAUUAAGCAUAAUGAUUAUGGCUCGAGAUUACCCUCCCUCUCUCUCCCUCCCUCCCUCUCUCUCCCUCCCUCUCUCUAUUUCUCUCCUUCUCUCCCUCCAUCUGUCUCCUUCCCUCUCUCCAUCUGUCUCCUUCCCUCUCUCCAUCUGUCUCCCUCUCUCUCUCCAUCUGUCUCCUUCCCUCUCUCCCUCUAUCUGUCUCCUUCCCUCUCUCCAUCUGGCUCCUUCCCUCUCUCCCUCCAUCUGUCUCCUCCCCUCCCUCCAUCUGUCUCCUUCCCUCCCUCCAUCUGUCUCCUUCCCUCCCUCCAUCUGUCUCCUUCCCUCCCUCCAUCUGUCUCCUUCCCUCCCUCCAUCUGUCUCCUUCCCUCUCUCCAUCUGUCUCCUUCCCUCCCUCCAUCUGUCUCCUUCCCUCCCUCCAUCUGUCUCCUUCCAUCUGUCUCCUUCCCUCCCUCCAUCUGUCUCCUUCCCUCUCUCCCUCCAUCUGUCUCCUUCCCUCCCUCCAUCUGUCUCCUUCCCUCUCUCCCUCCAUCUGUCUCCUUCCAUCUGUCUCCUUCCCUCCCUCCAUCUGUCUCCUUCCCUCCCUCCAUCUGUCUCCUUCCAUCUGUCUCCUCCCCUCCCUCCAUCUGUCUCCUUCCCUCCCUCCAUCUGUCUCCUUCCCUCUCUCCCUCCAUCUGUCUCCUUCCCUCUCUCUCUCCCUCCAUCUGUCUCCUUCCCUCCCUCUAUCUGUCUCCUUCCCUCCCUCCAUCUGUCUCCUUCCCUCUCUCUCUCCCUCCAUCUGUCUCCUUCCCUCCCUCCAUCUGACUCCUUCCCUCCCUCCAUCUGUCUCCCUCCCUCUCUCCAUCUGUCUCCUUCCCUCUCUCCCUCCCUCCAUCUGUCUCCUUCCCUCUCUCCCUCUCUCCAUCUGUCUCCUUCCCUCCCUCCAUCUGUCUCCUUCACUCUCUCCCUCUCUCCAUCUGUCUCCUUCCCUCUCCCUCUAUCUGUCUCCUUCCCUCCCUCCAUCUGUCUCCUUCCCUCUCUCUCUCCAUCUGUCUCCUUCCCUCCCUCCAUCUGA